Molecule: non-coding RNA, 114 nt
Organism: Acanthosepion pharaonis
Lineage: Eukaryota; Metazoa; Mollusca; Cephalopoda; Sepiida; Sepiidae
Source: the annotation of a GenBank genome assembly
UUACGGCCAGAUCACGUUGAAACACAAAUUUCCGUACGAUCACCGAAGUUAAGCAACGUCGAGGCAGGUUAGUACCUAGAUGGGUGACCACUUGCGAAUACCAGGUGCUGUAAG